ACUCCCAGAUGGGACCGUCUAGUUGCAGGAAAACAAGCUCAGGGCUCCCACUGAUUCUACAUUAUGAUCAACUGCAUGGGGUCCUACAGGAGAAGACCAAGAGACAGAGACAGAGACCAGGGAAAAUGACCGAUACCAUUCCUUCUCAGGGAUGCUACACACCCAUGGGGCAGAGGAUAAGAGGUUCCUGAAGGCAUCACCCCUCUGGCCAUGGCUGGUGUGCAGACAAAGCUGGAGAUUUGGAGUAGCCUGUUGUCCCACUGACUCUUAGACUGCCCCAGCUAAGAAGAACCAACUCCUCCUAUUACAGAUGAAAUAAACAAAGCUACUCAAGCUCUCUGGCAUCGCCCUGACGGUCAUCAUGUGCUUCACAUUUCCCUCCUGCCCCCCCUGAUUUUCUGGAAAAGGGAGAAACACACCAAAGAGAGUUCUAGAAAAAAUGAGAAUAAGAAAUUUACCUGUAAUCCUUGCUCAAGAAACUGAAGCUCUGAGGCCACAUUGUUCCAGCCUUUUGCAGCUCCUGCAUGUGGAUACCAGCACCAGCAGCUCCCCGACCAGGGGCCCCAGCUAAGCCCUCCCAGAGGAUGAUCUUGGCUUUGUACAUGGGGUGUCAAUAUCCUGUGAGUCCAACAGAGGGAAGACAUAAGAAUAUGGUCACCCAGGUUUUGUACAGAGGAAAUCCAGGCUCCUAACGAUGGCGAAAGAUGGGAAUAAAAGGAUCAGAACACUGAGCUGGAUCUUCAGUUCAUUUCAGGUAUGGAGAAGGGUAAAUGGUCUUUAAAGAAGGCCGACCUCAAUGAAGGUGUCUUCCAAGGCCUUGUCCACUCAAGGACAUGUUGCAUGCCUGAAACUGAGUAUACAGGAAAAGGAUAGAAAUGGAAUAAAAUGGAAACCCAUAAAUCACACUACCCUGCUAUGCAGUUUCAAACCACUGACUUAAUGAAAUGUUGAUCCACUUUGCCAUGGAUGCCCCACUUUUUAACUCCUUCUUCAGAGUCCCAGGAGGUGAGGCUCUUCUGUUUAACUGAUUUGCAGAAUUUUUGCUUCUGCUAUUACAAUGGCUUCCAUAGUUGAGUACCAAAGACACUUUACUAUGGUGCCACAGAGAUCAUUUUGCAGAUGAGGAAACAGACUGUUCUACUACCCAGGCUUUGGUUUUUUCUACUCAGUCUUGCACAAUCUCUCACUCUCAGCCCAGAACAUUGCUGCAUUUUUGUGAGCCAUCAGCAUCCAAAGUGAACACAGGGUCUAAAUAACUGAAGAUGGCAUGAGGGAACACACAAUCAGGUCUUUAAAAAAAGAAGAAAGUGAAUAGGCAAACUGAACAGGACAUCUAGGACUGAAAAGCCUCUGUGAACAACUGGACUCAAUAUGAAAUUGGCGUGAGCUCACAGAAGACCAGCUGAGUUCCAGAUGUGGUUGGGUAGCUUGGGUUAUGGGCCCGUAUAAAAAAAAUGGUCUCUUCUUGUAAAAGGAAUUCAAAAAAAGACUAAAAGUCA
This 1499-nucleotide long non-coding RNA is filed under the name Homo sapiens (human). RNAcentral describes it as "long intergenic non-protein coding RNA 3060". Lineage: Eukaryota; Metazoa; Chordata; Mammalia; Primates; Hominidae. The record is from RNAcentral.